GUCAGAGGUGAAAUUCUUGGAUUUAUGGAAGACGACCGGAUGCGAAAGCGUUUGGCAAGGAUAUACCCAUUGAUCAAGGACGAAAGUUAGGGGAUCGAAGACGAUUAGAUACCGUCGUAGUCUUAACCAUAAACGUUGCCAUCUAAAAGAUGGUGUCAUCCUUUUUUUCCGGGAAACCAAAGAUUUUGGGUUCUGGGGGGAGUAUGGUCGCAAGUCUGAAACUUAAAGGAAUUGACGGAAGGGCACCACCAGGAGUGGAGCCUGCCGCUUAAUUUGACUCAACACGGGGCAACUUACCAGGUCCGGACAUUUUUAUGAUUGACAGAUUGAUAGCUCUUUCAUGAUUGAAUGGGUGGUGGUGCAUGGCCGUUCUUAGUUGGUGGAGUGAUUUGUCUGGUUGAUUCCGUUAACGAACGAGACCUUUUCCUGCUAACUAGUAUACUUCUUAGAGGUACUAUUCGUUUUUCACGGAUGGAAGCUUUAGGCAAUAACAGGUCUGUGAUGCCCUUUGAUGUCCUGGGCUGCACGCGGGCUACACUGAUGCAGUCAAAGAGUGCUGAAAGGAAUCUAGGUAAUCUUUAAACUUGCAUCGUGCUUGGGAUUGAAUACUGUAACUGUAUUUAUGAACGAGGAAUUCCUUGUAGACGCGAGUCAUCAACUUGCGUUGAUUACGUCCCUGCCCUU
RNAcentral lists this ribosomal RNA (684 nucleotides) under Galdieria sulphuraria. RNAcentral's name for it is "SSU rRNA". It matches the Rfam family "Eukaryotic small subunit ribosomal RNA", at positions 904 to 1660 of the family's 1831-position model. Lineage: Eukaryota; Rhodophyta; Bangiophyceae; Galdieriales; Galdieriaceae. The record is from RNAcentral.